Molecule: ribosomal RNA, 497 nt
Filed under: uncultured bacterium
Lineage: Bacteria
Description: partial 16S ribosomal RNA
Rfam family: Bacterial small subunit ribosomal RNA
Source: RNAcentral
GAUGAACGCUGGCGGCGUGCCUAAUACAUGCAAGUCGAGCGAACAGACGAGGAGCUUGCUCCUCUGACGUUAGCGGCGGACGGGUGAGUAACACGUGGAUAACCUACCUAUAAGACUGGGAUAACUUCGGGAAACCGGAGCUAAUACCGGAUAAUAUAUUGAACCGCAUGGUUCAAUAGUGAAAGACGGUUUUGCUGUCACUUAUAGAUGGAUCCGCGCCGCAUUAGCUAGUUGGUAAGGUAACGGCUUACCAAGGCAACGAUGCGUAGCCGACCUGAGAGGGUGAUCGGCCACACUGGAACUGAGACACGGUCCAGACUCCUACGGGAGGCAGCAGUAGGGAAUCUUCCGCAAUGGGCGAAAGCCUGACGGAGCAACGCCGCGUGAGUGAUGAGGGUCUUCGGAUCGUAAAACUCUGUUAUUAGGGAAGAACAAAUGUGUAAGUAACUAUGCACGUCUUGACGGUACCUAAUCAGAAAGCCACGGCUAACCACGUG